UCCUACGGGAGGCAGCAGUAGGGGAUCUUCCACAAUGGACGAAAGUCUGAUGGAGCAAUGCCGCGUGAGUGAAGAAGGUUUUCGGAUCGUAAAACUCUGUUGUUGAAGAAGAACAUAUGUGAGAGUAACUGUUCACGUACUGACGGUAUUCAACCAGAAAGCCACGGCUAACUACGUGCCAGCAGCCGCGGUAAUA
Molecule: ribosomal RNA, 196 nt
Filed under: uncultured Lactobacillus sp.
Lineage: Bacteria; Bacillati; Bacillota; Bacilli; Lactobacillales; Lactobacillaceae
Description: partial 16S ribosomal RNA
Rfam family: Bacterial small subunit ribosomal RNA
Source: RNAcentral